RNAcentral lists this ribosomal RNA (465 nucleotides) under uncultured bacterium. RNAcentral's name for it is "partial 16S ribosomal RNA". It matches the Rfam family "Bacterial small subunit ribosomal RNA", at positions 28 to 507 of the family's 1533-position model. The record is from RNAcentral.
GACGAACGCUGGCGGCGUGCUUAACACAUGCAAGUCGAACGGAAAGGCCCCUUUGGGGGUACUCGAGUGGCGAACGGGUGCGUAACACGUGAGUAACCUGCCCUUGACUUCGGGAUAACUUCAGGAAACUGGGGCUAAUACCGGAUAGGAAUCCUUGCUGCAUGGUGGGGGUUGGAAAGCUUCGGCGGUUUUGGAUGGACUCGCGGCUUAUCAGCUUGUUGGUGGGGUAGUGGCUUACCAAGGCUUUGACGGGUAGCCGGCCUGAGAGGGCGACCGGCCACAUUGGGACUGAGAUACGGCCCAGACGCCGACGGGAGGCAGCAGUGGGGAAUAUUGCACGAUGGGCGGAAGCCUGAUGCAGCAACGCCGCGUGCGGGAUGACGGCCUUCGGGUUGUAAACCGCUUUCAGCAGGGGCGAAGCUUGUGGUGACGGUACCUGCAGAAGAAGCACCGGCUAACUACGUG